CCUACGGGAGGCAGCAGUGAGGAAUAUUGGUCAAUGGCCGGAAGGCUGAACCAGCCAAGCCGCGUGAAGGACGAAGGUGCCAAGCAUUGUAAACUUCUUUUGUCAAGGGACAAAAUCAGGCUCGAGAGCCUGACCGGGGGUACUUGAAGAAAAAGCAUCGGCUAACGCCGUGCCAGCAGCCGCGGUAAUACGGAGGAGGCGAGCGUUAUCCGGAUUUAUUGGGUUUAAAGGGUGGGUAGGCGGACUGUUAAGUCAGCGGGAAACGCCCGGGGCCCAACCCCGGCGGGCAGUUGAAACUGGUUGUCUUGAGAGGUCGAGAGGGAUGCGGAAUGCGCGGUGUAGCGGUGAAAUGCGUAGAUAUUGCGCAGAACUCCGAUUGCGAAGGCAGCAUACCGGCGGCGAUCUGACGCUGAGGCACGAAAGCGUGGGGAUCGAACAGGAUUAGAUACCCCAGUAGUC
Molecule: ribosomal RNA, 459 nt
Filed under: uncultured bacterium
Lineage: Bacteria
Description: partial 16S ribosomal RNA
Rfam family: Bacterial small subunit ribosomal RNA
Source: RNAcentral